Molecule: ribosomal RNA, 253 nt
Filed under: uncultured bacterium
Lineage: Bacteria
Description: partial 16S ribosomal RNA
Rfam family: Bacterial small subunit ribosomal RNA
Source: RNAcentral
UACGUAGGGGGCAAGCGUUGUCCGGAAUUAUUGGGCGUAAAGAGCGCGUAGGCGGUCCGAUAAGUCGGCUGUGAAAGUCAAGGGCUCAACCCUUGGAAGCCGGCCGAUACUGUCGGACUAGAGUCCGGAAGAGGCGAGUGGAAUUCCUGGUGUAGCGGUGAAAUGCGCAGAUAUCAGGAGGAACACCGAUGGCGAAGGCAGCUCGCUGGGACGGUACUGACGCUGAGGCGCGAAAGCGUGGGGAGCAAACAGG